RNAcentral lists this transfer RNA (72 nucleotides) under Candidatus Levyibacteriota bacterium. RNAcentral describes it as "tRNA-Gly". It matches the Rfam family "tRNA". From Rfam's summary of the family: Transfer RNA (tRNA) molecules are approximately 80 nucleotides in length. Their secondary structure includes four short double-helical elements and three loops (D, anti-codon, and T loops). The record is from RNAcentral. Lineage: Bacteria; Candidatus Levyibacteriota.
GCGAUGGUAGUUCAGUGGUAGAAUGUCUCCUUCCCAAGGAGAAGGUCGCCGGUUCGAAUCCGGUCCAUCGCU